Long non-coding RNA from Mus musculus (house mouse), 1246 nucleotides. RefSeq annotates it as predicted gene, 36614. The record is from RefSeq and is a predicted model, not a curated record. The transcript has 5 exons. Lineage: Eukaryota; Metazoa; Chordata; Mammalia; Rodentia; Muridae.
GUCUGUGCACCGCAUGCAUGCAGUGCCUACAGAAGCCAGAAGAGGGUGUCGAAUGCCCUGGAACUGGAGUUCAAGAAGGUUGUAAGCUGGAAUCAAACCAAGGACCUUUGGAAGAGCAGAUGGUGCUCUUGUCUCCUGAGCCACUUCUCCAGAAUCCUCUAUCAUUUGAUCACUCACUCUGUUGAGACUGCGUUCUCUCUGAACCGGAAGCUCACUGACUUGGCAAGACUAGCUGUCCCGCUAGCUCCAGCUGUGUUCCUGUCUCUGCCUCCCCAGUUCUAAGAUUAUAGAGUGGACACAGUUCUCAUCACGCUGGGGAAGCUGGGCAAGAAGCUCGUUGGGGGAAUGGAAAAACAGCAUCGAAAAGACAUCCAGCUUUAACUCCAUAAAAGAAUCACUGACAUAAGAGUCAAAGUCCCAGGGAUGCAGGUGUCUAUACAUUUUCCUCAUGGAUGCAUCUAGAACAUUGAUUUGCACUUAACAAUGCUGUGAUGUCAUGGAUGCAUUAGGUCCCAGCUCCCAGCCUGGCCUCAGAAAAUUCUCCAUCAAGAAAACUCCAGUUUGUGCUGUUGCACAUUAAAACAAAUCCCAGACUCAGCUCUGUACCUGGCGAGGGUAUGGGUGGCAUCCUCGCCACACUAAGGCCUCAUCUGAGCCCGUGAGGAGGAGUGAGUAUUUGCUAGACUGACCACCCCAUCCUCCUGCUGCCCUGGCCCGAGUUGCCUACCGACAGACCUUCACUGACAUAAUGGAUUGAAACUCGGCUGACACAGGAGCCAGGGUAACCUUUUCCUCUGCUAAGCAGCUCCUCCCAGGUGUGUUGUCAGAGCCAAGAGCUUGUGAGCAAGGGCAGUGUCCACUCUGGUGUCCCUGUCCCCACGUGCUCUCCUCUGGAUUUCAUUUCAAUAGACACUUGUCUGAAAGGCCACAAACCCCAGGAACUGUGGUUUUCAGUUUUUGGCUUUGGUUGCCAUGGCUCCCAUGCUCCAGACAGUUCUGGUUAUUUCCAGUGUUUUAGUACCUGAAUCGACAUGGACCAAGUGAGCCCCCGUAUUCCUUCAGCUGCAGCAGGCUUCACUCAUUAAAUGGAGCACAUACAAAGAAACGUAAUGGAUGUCUUUAUUUGGGGCAGUUUUGAGGCUUUCUAGAAAGAGUUUUAGGCAUCAGGCUGGGUGGAAGCUGAUUCCUCAGAAGGGAGUUGGGCUUUCAAGAGGAUAGAAAUGACCUCGGUCCUGUUCCAGAGAUG